Magnolia sinica is the source of this 107-nucleotide small nucleolar RNA. Lineage: Eukaryota; Viridiplantae; Streptophyta; Magnoliopsida; Magnoliales; Magnoliaceae. The record is from RefSeq and is a predicted model, not a curated record.
UAUCCAUGAUGUGGGCAAGCACUUAGGAGAUCCUUAAAAGUCUUCCAGCAUUAGAAGAAAGUUUCUUCCUCUUUCUGUGAGAAGUUCAUAAUGACUCUUCUAAGGGU